This is a long non-coding RNA of Oncorhynchus kisutch (coho salmon), 162 nucleotides long. RefSeq lists it as uncharacterized. Lineage: Eukaryota; Metazoa; Chordata; Actinopteri; Salmoniformes; Salmonidae. The transcript has 3 exons. The record is from RefSeq and is a predicted model, not a curated record.
GGAGGAAAGAGCUGCUCCUUUGUAGUGUGUGUGUGAGGGGUACUUUAACUAAGGAACAUAGGCGAGGACACACUGUAUAAACCUACAGUAUGAGCAGAACCACCUUCUUUGAGCGGAACAUCAGAAGAACUCGGAACAUCAGAAGAAUCACCGUAAUGUAUA